UGGGGUGGGAGAGCUGUGGGUGCCCUGAGGACAGCCCCAUCCUGCAGCUCUUGCCUGUUGGAGCUGGAAUGACUACUGGUGUUCUGUAGUUUGUGAAGCAAGACAACAUGACAGUACACAACUCUUGAACCCCGUUUCGUCUGUUCUUCCUGAAGCGCCAGCUGCCAUGACGCCUGGCACUACCUCCUGCCACUAAUGGCUUCCUGAAGGGUUCAUCCUUGACCAUCUUCCUGCAGAGGGGUUGGGGUGUGCAGCAGCAUGAGCUGGAGCAGGGGUCCCCGGUCCAAGCCCUAUGCCAGCACAGGGCAAAGCAUGGAGCCUCGCUGCCUGCUCGCAGCCCAGCUUCUCUGUGGGUCCAGCCCUUAACUGGCCUGCCUGCCUCAGUUUCCAGUUAUAAACUAGGCUGUGUUUACUGCGGAAAUUACGAGCUAAGCCCUGCCGCCCUCUCCACGUCGUGUAAAAUCGACUGCUGUGCAUUCACAGAUGCUGCAGCUGCUUGGAUGUGGUACAUGGGAAGGCAAGACCAGAAAGAGUGGAGCCAUCAGACAGACAUAGGGGGGAUAAUAUAUUUUGAUGAGAGAGGAGGAUUUAAAUGAAUAGACAAUAAAACAGGGCAGAAACAAGCAAUGCAAAAUGGCAAUCUUAAUGCUAACUAAGCUUGUAAUAGAAGAAAGCUGUAAGUAAAAGGAAAAUAAA
Gymnogyps californianus (California condor) is the source of this 696-nucleotide long non-coding RNA. RefSeq lists it as uncharacterized. The record is from RefSeq and is a predicted model, not a curated record. Lineage: Eukaryota; Metazoa; Chordata; Aves; Accipitriformes; Cathartidae. The transcript is spliced from 4 exons.